Nematostella vectensis (starlet sea anemone) is the source of this 919-nucleotide long non-coding RNA. RefSeq lists it as uncharacterized. The record is from RefSeq and is a predicted model, not a curated record. The transcript is spliced from 2 exons. Lineage: Eukaryota; Metazoa; Cnidaria; Anthozoa; Actiniaria; Edwardsiidae.
GGAGAGGGGGUGUCGGGUGGUGGGGAAUAGCUGCUAUAGCCUCCCGGCUCCACUCCCCUACUAGACACUCCCUAAACGAUCUCAGCUACGGCCACGGAUAAUGGUGAUUCUCAAUCACGAGGAGUAAAUAUUAUAAGUAGCGUUUGGGGAUUAGAAGGACAUCCACCAGGAAAACGGAAUAAACAUCCUUGGGGACCCAGGGCGUCGCGGAUAUCGGGUCAGGAUUGACCCGUGUAUAUCGCAUACUAAAUUAUGUUCUCCAAAUCAGUCUUACGGUGACCCUUUGAGCUGUAGGGGGAGUACUUGAUGUAAGCCCUCUCACCUUUUCAGGUUUACAAGUUUUAAAAGUGCCAUCCACAUGAUAACGAACAGCAGUCCGGAUAAUUCCCUGUGAGAGGUCAAGUGAUAAAAUCAGCCAGAUUCAGCCGGGCACCCUACUAAUCCGUCCGAGCAAUUCUCACCGCGACCUGUGUUAUCGGCGACGUCACCACAAGUAGACCGUAACUGAACAGAUGAGUACCGGUACAAGCCUGAGUAUCAAGUCCCUCCGCCCCCACGAAUGCGGUCCACUAUAACGCCCCGCGCGCGACACACACCUUCCUUCCUCGUGCUCUAGCGGGUGAACCAUGCCAUUACGGACGUGUACGGAGACGCGAGUAGACAAGUACAAGGCGCCACAGAUGCAGGCGCAGAGAUGACUGAAAGUCAACGCUCGCCACAGAAAAUAACCUGCAAAUAAUAAAAACAUUAAAAUGCUAGUUUAUUUAUUUAUAAUAACCUGCAAAUAAUAAAAGCACAGAAAUGCUAGUUUAUUUAUUUAUAAUAACCUGCAAAUAAUAAAAGCACAAAAAUGCUAGUUUAUCAGUCUUUAAAAUAAUAAAAGCAUAAAGAUGCUGGUUAUCAAAUUCUUUAAAAUGAA